UUCACAUUUCAGUUUGGACAAAAGCGACAUACUUGCAUGCACAUUGACUUUAAAAUGGCAAGGAAUUUUUUUUCAGAGAGCUGUAAACCAACUUAGAAACAAAGAGUUUCAGAAGUAUCUGAGGAGGUCUAAAUGUGCCUGUUGGGAAAACCUUCCAACAAAAGCACGCACUUCUGGGGACCAGUAAUAAAUUGGGG
This is a long non-coding RNA of Brienomyrus brachyistius, 197 nucleotides long. RefSeq lists it as uncharacterized. Lineage: Eukaryota; Metazoa; Chordata; Actinopteri; Osteoglossiformes; Mormyridae. The transcript is spliced from 3 exons. The record is from RefSeq and is a predicted model, not a curated record.